AACGAACGCUGGCGGCAUGCCUAACACAUGCAAGUCGAACGAGACCUUCGGGUCUAGUGGCGCACGGGUGCGUAACGCGUGGGAACCUGCCCUUAGGUUCGGAAUAACUCCCCGAAAGGGGUGCUAAUACCGGAUAAUGUCUUCGGACCAAAGAUUUAUCGCCUUUGGAUGGGCCCGCGUUGGAUUAGCUAGUUGUAGGGUAAAAGCCUACCAAGGCGACGAUCCAUAGCUGGUCUGAGAGGAUGAUCAGCCACACUGGGACUGAGACACGGCCCAGACUCCUACGGGAGGCAGCAGUGGGGAAUAUUGGACAAUGGGCGAAAGCCUGAUCCAGCAAUGCCGCGUGAGUGAUGAAGGCCUUAGGGUUGUAAGGCUCUUUUACCCGGGAUGAUAAUGACAGUACCGGGAGAAUAAGCUCCGGCUAACUCCGUG
This 432-nucleotide ribosomal RNA is filed under the name uncultured bacterium. RNAcentral's name for it is "partial 16S ribosomal RNA". It matches the Rfam family "Bacterial small subunit ribosomal RNA", at positions 29 to 507 of the family's 1533-position model. The record is from RNAcentral.